This is a long non-coding RNA of Sycon ciliatum, 1300 nucleotides long. RefSeq lists it as uncharacterized. The record is from RefSeq and is a predicted model, not a curated record. The transcript has 3 exons. Lineage: Eukaryota; Metazoa; Porifera; Calcarea; Leucosolenida; Sycettidae.
GCGCAUGGAUUCGGGCGCGCUUAGCCUGACGUCGUACAACUGCUUCCUUUGAACUUUCUCUUUCUUUCUUGCUGUUGGCUUCACUUCAAAGACUAGUCUAAUUGGUGGUGACUUUUAGCUUGUGCCAGCAUCAAAUUUUCACCCUCCAUUCCUCCCAUCUUAUCUUGCUAAUGGUACUAGGGAACAUUUAGCUCUAUCGCUCCUAACUGGUCACUUGCUUCGCUAGUUGCGGCUCUUCACGAGCCAGUUGUUGCCAAGUGCAUUGGCUUUGCCUUGCAACCCUAUUGUGGCACAAUGUGGGUUUAUUGCGGCUCCUCGCGAGCCAGUUGCUGCCAGUGGCCUGGCAUUGCUUUCCAGCUCUUCGAGCUUUUGCAUUACAAGACCAGUUACUCGAAGCAGCACACUAUCUCCAAAACAAUUCCUUGUUGCCUUGGGUUGAGUAUGAGUGUGUGAGGGAUAUGGUGCUAAUUAGCGUUAAUACGAUAUGUGAACCAACCCUAACUGGCAAACAUUAUGUGUAUGAGUGUACAGUGUAUGGAUGAACUCUACUGGCAAUUGAUUCGUAUUUGGCUGUUUCGUACAUAUUUUGUAUGCAGUACAAUAGAUAGCUUCAGAAAUUUGCAAUUUAUAUCAUGGCUGUGUAAAUUCAUGAACGCUGUGCUCAUUCAGCCAAAAAUUACAAUAUUCUGUGUGUCUUGGUACCCUACACAUGCUGUCUCAGGUGAUGGAAGAAAUGAAAUCCCUGAAGAUCAAUGGUCGGCCCUACCAUCGACAAAGCCAGGGCAGGGUUGAACGCUUCAACCAGACUCUCGCUAACGUCUUGCGUCCCGAUCUGCAAACCGACAAGGACUGGCCUAGCAGGUUAGAGUUCUUCUACUACACGUACAACUCAUGGUCAAGCAAGGCACUGAAGGGACAGACACCCUUCGAAGUUUUCUUCAGGCGCCCUAACUUUUCAGUUUUCACUUUAUGCUGCAGCAAGCCGAAAUGACCUAACUGCUGACGAACGAGAGUUCCUCGACACAGUACACAUAGAUGUCAGUGAUGCUGAGGAUGACAAUGGUGACCAGGACGUGUCUGAGGAUGCUGGUACUGAACCAGCUCUUGACAUGGGCGACAGCAGUCAUGAAGGCUAUGGGAAUUAUGAAGGCUAUGAGGCUGAAGCAUUUGACAUUGGUGAAGUGCCUGCUGCUGUCCACGAGAUUAGCAUUCCUUCUUCCACAAGUCCUGGUCUUCCUGACGUUGUGCUCUCCUUCGGACCAAGUGACAUCAGACGUGCGGUGUCUACGCAUGGCAGUAG